This 468-nucleotide ribosomal RNA is filed under the name uncultured bacterium. Its description in RNAcentral is "partial 16S ribosomal RNA". It matches the Rfam family "Bacterial small subunit ribosomal RNA", at positions 28 to 507 of the family's 1533-position model. The record is from RNAcentral.
GACGAACGCUGGCGGCGUGCUUAACACAUGCAAGUCGAACGGAAAGGCCCUGCUUUUGUGGGGUUCUCGAUUGGCGAACGGGUGAGUAACACGUGUGUAACCUGCCCUUGUAUUUGGGAUAACUUCAGGAAACUGGGGCUAAUACCCGAUAGGAUCUCCUGCUGCAUGGUGGGGGUUGGAAAGUUUCGGCGGUUGGGGAUGGACUCGAGGCUUAUCAGCUUGUUGGUGGGGUAGUGGCUUACCAAGGCUUUGACGGGUAGCCGGCCUGAGAGGGUGACCGGCCACAUUGGGACUGAGAUAGGGCCCAGACGCGUACGGGAGGCAGCAGUGGGGAAUAUUGCACAAUGGGCGGAAGCCUGAUGCAGCAACGCCGCGUGCGGGAUGACGGCUUUCGGGUUGUAAACCGCUUUCGCCUGUGACGAAGCGUGAGUGACGGUAAUGGGUAAAGAAGCACCGGCUAACUACGUG